CCUUAAUUAGUAUCACUAGUAAGGCCUGCCCUUAAACUGUGUUGGUUUAAAGCUCUAAAAACACACUGUUCACUCUCAGCCCGGGACCAAACAUCAGGUAGAAAUAAUAACUGGUGAACACUGUGGAGCAUUUAGAAGCUAAAGAGACAGAUAUUUCUCUCAGGAGUUGGUGGAGACCAAAAAUUGGACUUUCAUCAGGUAUCUUCAUUGUUGUAUCUGCUGGAUGUGAGCAGUUUGAGCACUUCAGCUGCUUGCUCCAUCUUCUGCUCCCGGAGAAGCCUCUGGAUCUCCCGGAUCCACGCCACCCGUCUGACAUACGGGCUGUGGUUGGUUUUCCGCAGCAUCCCUGGGAGCUUGUCGGACUUGAGCAUCAAGGAGAGCCAGCACUGUAUACAACCACUGGAUUUUUUCCCAGUGCGCAUACAGAGCAGAAAACUAGUGGACCAGGAAGAGAUAUCCUACUUCUAUAAUUGGAGAGAGCUGAACUCUGCGAGGACAAUCAUCAGAGAAUGACCACAAAAAUGCACUUCCUGUUGAACUAAACUCACUGACACCCUCUGGAAAGCCCGACAAUCAGAUGAAACAGAAGUAGGAGCUCCAGUGACGUUGCUUAAGCAGGUCCUGAUUGAACUUUCAAAAAGGGGCACCGGGAUGGUGGUGCAAAUCAUGGAAAAGCGGGUUGGAAAAAGGUGGUUGAGUGUGAGAUUGCUGCAGACAAACAGAGGUCAUACCGUCUUCCUACCAUGGAUUCCUCACCAUGACAGAAAUGAGCUUCCCUUCACUUAGGUCAGGUAACAGCUCCCUGUCAGGCUGACCACCACUCUCAAGCCCUGAAGUUUUUAUAUAGAGAGUUUUCCUUUUUGUUUCUUAUUCUGUCCUCUUGGGUGAGUUGGGCAAAUAUACA
Molecule: long non-coding RNA, 904 nt
Organism: Larimichthys crocea (large yellow croaker)
Lineage: Eukaryota; Metazoa; Chordata; Actinopteri; Sciaenidae
Exons: 4
Source: RefSeq, a predicted model, not a curated record